RNAcentral lists this long non-coding RNA (205 nucleotides) under Mytilus galloprovincialis (Mediterranean mussel). Lineage: Eukaryota; Metazoa; Mollusca; Bivalvia; Mytilida; Mytilidae. The record is from RNAcentral.
CACGUACAUUGUAUAUUCAGAGGUAGUUGAGUGUAGUCAAGUCUAGGAUAUGUGGUACAGCUAAUAUGUUUUAUGCAUUGUGAUAUAUUAUAAGCUUCAAAAGAAAUGUUCUAUCUUAAAAGUAUUAUUACUCUUGCAUGGGGAUGUUUAAACUAUAGUUUAACAGUUAUGUAAUUUGAAUAUAUUAAUACUAAUAUUGAAGGGC